RNAcentral lists this long non-coding RNA (1999 nucleotides) under Salmo salar (Atlantic salmon). RNAcentral describes it as "lncRNA (ENSSSAG00000093194.1)". Lineage: Eukaryota; Metazoa; Chordata; Actinopteri; Salmoniformes; Salmonidae. The record is from RNAcentral.
AACCCACACAUUUUCUAGAGGGACGGCUUUAGGCGGAACACAACAGUAUCGUACCACAUGCAUCUGCAAGUUUUUUUUCUAUUCAGAAGUUGUAAGAAAUUCCACAUUAAUAUUAUAGUUCAAGCACAAAGAAGGAAAUAUAGAGAUAUCAGCAAAUCCCGGGAGGAACCACCGGUGCAGCCAAUGAUGAACAUAUACCCAAGAACUCUGAUGGGGGACCGGAGGAGGAGCUUCAAGGCGGCCUGGGACCAUAUCCAUCCCUGGCUUGAAUAUUCAAAAAAAAUCUGACUCUGUGUUUUGUUACGCCUGCAGGCAUUUUAGCCCUCCCAGUCUCAGAGACUGUAUUUGAUUCACAAUUGGGUUUUAACAACUGGAAGAAGGCAACUUACAAAGAAGGGGGAUUUGCAAUUCAUGUAAGGUCUGAGCGGCACAAACAAGCAAUGAUUACAUGGAGAGACUAUCAGAAAGCUGUAAAAAGUAAUGCAACACUGGUAAAUGCCCUAAACAAGGAACACAACAAACAGGUUCAAGAAAAUUGGGACUAUAUUAAAACAAUAGGAGAAGUACUACUACUUACAGCCACACAAAACAUUGCACAAAGAGGACACGAUGAGUCUGCAGAGUCCGAUAACAAAGGGAACUUCAUGGCAAUCCUAGAAACAAUAGCUAAGCAUGACACAACAGUGAAAAAAAGGUUGACUUCCAUUCAUAAAGCAAAAUAUACAAGCAAAGGGAUUCAGAAUGAGGUUCUGAGUUGUUUGGCAGACAUGGUUCCAACAAAAAUGAUAGAAGAAGUGAAAGACAGUGAGGGUCUUUAGCCUAAUGGCAGAUGUAACAAAGAUGUAAAAUAAAGGAGCAGAUAUCUCUAGUACUCAGGUACUAUUUCAGAGGAGCUGUCCAUGAGGGCUUUCUCCAUUUUGAAUCGGCUGAUCGACUAGAUGCAGCAGGGCUUACUGACAAAAUCAUACACAUAUUAGAAAGUCAUGGUCUUGAAUACAAAAACAACCUAGUAGGCCAAGCAUAUGACGGUACUUCCGUUAUGAGUGGCAAGCAUUCAGACGUCCAGGCAGGCAUUAAAGAACAAACAAAGCAUGCCUUUUACAUCCACUGCAGUGCACACUGUCUAAACUUAGUUUUAGUGGAUACAGUCAAAGCUGUCCCUGAGGUAGGACAGUUCUUCUCCUUACUAGAAAGACUUUACGUCUUCUAAUCUGGGCCAUAUGUGCAUCAAAAAUGGCUUAGCAUACAAAAAGAGAUGUACCCAGGUGCACCUAGAGAGCUUCAGAGACUAAAUGACACUCGCUGGGCAUGUCGAUAUAUGGCUCUACAUACUAUUAUGGAUAAAUUACCUGCCAUUAAGCGAGUCCUGCAACACAUAGCCCAAGAACAAUGGUGACAGAUCUGUUGAGGCACGAGGUCUGUUGAGGCACAGUUCUGUUGAGGCACAAGGUCUGUUGAGGGACGAGGUCUGCUUGCACAGAUAGAUUUACAAUUCAUUGUGUGCCUUGUUACACUCCAUAAAGUGUUUGGAGAAGCAACAUUUCUAUCAGAUAUGCUACAGUCUUCAUCACUUGACCUGUCAAAGGCUGUUGAUUUAGUUGACGCCUUAGUUCAAACUUUGAAUGACUAUAUGACUAUAUGACUAUAAAAAUAGUAUUUGUUUUUAUAAAAAUAAAUGUCCCACGCUCCACUUUGUUUUCAUCCUGUAUUGAACGCAGUUUAUCCCGUCUUAAAUUUUAUCGAUUAUUUACGUAAAAAAAUACCUAAAGUUGUACUAGGAAAGUUGUUUGAAAUGUUUGGACAAAGAUUACAGGUAACUUAUGAGAUAUUUUGUAGUCAUGUUGCGCGAGUUGGAACCGGUGUUUUUCUGGAUCAAACGCGCCAAAUAAAUGGACAUUUUGGAUAUAUAAAGACGGAAUUAAUCGAACAAAAAGGACCAUUUGUGAUGUUUAUGGGACAUAUUGGAGUGCCAACAAAAGAAGCUCGUCAAAGGUAAGGC